AAGCCAAAUCACGAAGCAGAAUCAAAAUAUUGGUAUAGCAGAAUCAAAACAUUGGUAUAGCGGUUAGGCUGUGUUACAACUAUGAAGGAUCAAUACAACAAUGCACUCGGUAAAAAACGAUUGCUGUUUCCAUAUUAUUACAUUAUGAAAAAAGGCACAUUCAAAACCUGUAUAAAAAGCUUUCGAAUUAGUCAAAAUAACUUUUUCUCAAACUCUGGUUACAGUAUGGCGAAUCAUUAAAUUUCACAAAACAGAGGUCACUGACUUUAACUGAACAUCGAAACAAUUAAUUCCCAAUUAGACUUUAACAGCACUCUAUAAUUUGUCCCGUUUGUAAAUUGCGUUCAAGGGUUAUAGGUCCAGAUUACAAGUCAAACAAUAAAGAAAUACAAAGCCAUCGCUAACAACUUGGUUCACUAAAGUUAACCAUUUAAUUAACAGUUUAAGUUGAACUUUGAUGAAUAAAAAAUUAUUGUUGCGGCUGCAGAAACCGGAUACAAAAAUUUCAGAAACAGUUGAUUUCCAAUUUGGUAAUACGGAGAUCUCGCUUCGAUGCUCCACUUAAAAUAUAAUAUGAACAAGUUGCUGCUUAUCACUAUGCUGAUCGGGCUUCUCUGGUUGGUUGACGAAGGAGAGUUGUAUUGUUGGCGUCGCAGGUUGUUCUACCGCAGGCGUUUUCACGUUCACGAUGACCACGGUUCAACAAAAGUUCUGGUUGUUAACAAAAACAAAGUGAUAAUUGUCAAUCCAAGUGCUGGUUCUCAAUAAAAUAAACCAUUCUGCA
This is a non-coding RNA of Ciona intestinalis (vase tunicate), 784 nucleotides long. The record is from RefSeq and is a predicted model, not a curated record. NCBI's taxonomy places the organism in Eukaryota, Metazoa, Chordata, Ascidiacea, Phlebobranchia, Cionidae.